GCAAAUAUGCAGAGGCAUGAUCUUGUCACCCAAACUGCUUCAUUAAGCUAAAGUUGUUUUGGUGACUAUACGACGAUUCACCAUGUCACAACAAUAAUAGACGUUCUUUCGGGUGGCAAAAGCCGAAGCAUUCUCCGAUGGCACCACUAGUAAAUUGCUUGGAAGGGAGACCCACAAUUCCCAGACGGAGAAGAGCUGCAAUGGACAUUCACAAGGUUAGCAACAUAACUCAUAAUACGUUAGGGGACAUAAGGGAUUUUUCUUAGAAUACUUUUGUGAGAUUAUUGUAUGUUUAAUAACUGUAGCAUUCAGACUGUUUGAGCUAUAACUCUAUAUAAUCCCUCUAAUAUAACGUCUGACGGAUCAUUUUAUUUAGAGACGUCCAUCUGCAAUACAUUUUUUAAACGGUCCUGAAAUAUCUGUAUGUUUAUAUAAGCAGUCUCUAAAUCAACUGCUCACUUAGUUUAAAACUUUGCUGAUUUGAAAGGGAAGGCAUGAAUAUAAAGUGGUUUUGUCCUGUACAUUGCAAGGGAUUUGAUGACUUUGCAUUAGAAUUUUAACACUUUCCUUUAUUAGGGAUUAGUUAUGUGAUGGUACCAUACCUUCCAACAGUCCUAGAUUCUUAAUGACAGUCCCAAUUUGGGGAUUAUGCCCCACCCCCAUCUGUGUUUAUACCUCCUACUGCUCUUAUGUUCUCUGUGAAUGGGUUUACAGGAAAUCUGGUAACAAAUUUUGGGAAAUGUAGUCCAGCAACAGCUGGAAGGGUAUGGGAGGGAUCAGAUUUGGAAUAACCACUGUUUAAUGCCUUUAAAAUCAUGUUGCCUAUUAAUCAGUUUGACUUAUACAUCGUAAAGGCACUCUGAUUUUAAUAGACUGUAUUUCCUGUGACCCUCAGCCAGCCAGAACAUAUGAUUUAGCCCUUUAUUUUUCUUUAGUCAAACGCUGAUCUCUUCAGGUCAGUGGAAGCCACUCGCAUUCUGCCACGGGGAAGUAUCUUGGCGCCUAUUGUUUACAAACAUUCUGAAAUGCCGUAUAAUGUCCCUUUAAACCUGAAACAAAUAUAUAUAUUUGCACAAACUACCAAUCCAAAAAAAAGAAAAUGGAAAACAUGCUGAGUUUUAAAGUUUUGAAUUAUGCUCAAAUCUCCAUAUAUUCCAGCAACAGUCAAGGUCUUAUUUGCCCAUGGGCAGAAAAGGCCUGAUCUGAGAAAGGCAGAUUAUAGGGGUGGACAUAUCUUCAUUGGGUGUCCACGUUUCAGGACAGUCUUGUGUUUUCAUUUCACAUUCUGUUUGCUCUCCCUAAGCGGGACCGGUCCUUCACCUGUGCCUAAACAAGGUUCAGGGCAGUAAGUGGUUAAUGUACCGAUAGCAGAUCAGUGCAGCGGGUUACUGUAAUGUAAAUGCAAUUUCAACGGAUAGCCCAAUGAUUCCCUAAUACCAUGAAUGGCCUACUGUGUGAUUGAAGUAUAACCCUAAUGGGAAUUAUUUGCAUAAAACAUCAAUGAUGAUAUAGGUAGAAGCUACAUUACAGAACAAUUCUUUUGUUCUCCUUAUAGCAUGAGAGAGUUAACAGGUGCCGCCACUUGGCUUCUGAAACCUAUGUUUAUAUUUAGAAAAAUACAUAUUUAAGCUUUUAUCAUGAGUAAGUAACUGCACCUUGUGAACGACUGCCAAGUAAAUAUUAUAAUCUUUUUCCAGAUAAUGUCGGAACUUCAUAAGCCGCACUUCUGUAUUUUGGCAAAAGACUAUAUUGUUUAUUGUAGCUCAUAAAACAAGGACUUAUUAUCUCUAGAACCAUUUCCCAUCCAGAAGGGUUAUUUAAAUAGUUAGUUUUGGAGUUACGAUCAUGGCUUACAAACGCCAAACAUAUGUAAGAUAUAUUAGAACAGGUGUGCACGUCCUAUGAAUGGGCCUUCAGAGCUCAUUCCCUUCAAUACACACUCCAACGACCAUAACCACUACAUUUUGCUAGGUUAGUUUGGGUGUAAGGUUUUUGCAAAAUUGUCUCAAUUAUUAUUAUUAUUAUUAUUAUUAUUAUUAUUUUAUUAUUUAUAUAGCGCCAUCACAUUCCAUAGCGCCAUACCAUGGGUGGACUAACAGACAUGUAAUUGUAAUUAGACAAUUGGACGUACAGGAACAGAGAGGUGUAGGGCCCUGCUCAAUGAGCUUACAUUCUAGAGGGAGUGGGGUAUAGAGACACAAAGGGUAAAAGUAGGGGUAUGAAGUAGGUUGUUAAAAAAGCAUUCAGGGCUUAGUAGGUAAUUUUGACAGUUGCAGGAGAGGAGUCAUGGGGGGUGGAGGAUAAAAACCUGCUAACAGUUUAAUUGAUAUGCUUUCCUGAAGUAGUGAAUUUUCAAUGAUUUUUUGAAUGAAUGGAGACAGGGUAAACCUCUUACGGAGAAGGGAAGAGAGUUCCACAGAAGGGGUGCAGCCCUGGAAAAGUCUUGGAGUCGGGCGUUAGAGGUGGGAGUAAGGACAGAGGAUGGAAGUAGGUCUUUGGCAGAGAGCAUAGGGGCCUCAACGGGACAUACUUGUGUAUUAGGGAGGAUAGGUAGGUUGGAGCAGCAUUAUGUAGGGACUUGUAAGCAAGCACCAGAAUUUUAAAUUGAGCUCUAUAUCUAACUGGGGGACAAUGUAGGGACUGAUAGAGCGGGGAGGUGUGGGAGGUGCGAGCGGACAGGAAAAUGAGCCUUGCUGUUGCAUGCAUUAUAGAUUGCAACGGUGCAAUCUGGGAACACGUAAGACCACUGAGAAGAGCACUGCAGUAGUCCAGGCGAGAGAGAACAAGAGCAUGGACCAGCACCUUAGCCGCAUCCGGGGUUAGAUAGUGGCGGAUGCGCACUAUGUUUUUGAGAUGGAAGCAACAGGAUUUGGCGAUUGAUUGGACAUGAGGGGUGAAGGAGAGGUUGGAGUCAAAACGAACACCCAGGCAGCGAGCCUUCGAGGUAGAGGUCAUGGUAGCGCCGUUGACUUGGAGGGAGACUCAAUAAAAGGUUAGUGAAAAAGGCCACUUUAAAAACAAAGUUCAUGGAACCCCCCUAUCCCACCAAAAAAAUUUAAAUAAAAUCUAGCCCAACCUAAAAUAAUUGCUUUAAAGUGUAACUAAGCAACAAAACCACUUGAGCUUAAUGAAAUGGUUAUGGUGCACAUACCCCAUGCCUGCAAUCUAUUUUAAUGGGCGUGAAUCCUUAAUACCAUAUGCCAAAGCUGCAGCUAUUAAAAAGCUUGGGUUUAGCAGAUUUUCUUAACUAUAAUCAUAUUUAUUUCAGUCUUCAGUAAUCUAUUUUCAUUUACAGCAUACAGUUUUUGUUUUUACCAAUAAGUCUGCUAGUUGCACUAUAUAUACUCUAAGCACCAUAACCACUGCAGUGAUUGGCUCAGAUCAUUAGGAAUCUGGUUAACCCAGCUCUUUCAUGCUAUCGCUAUUAUCGAGGGUCUUGAUCGCAAUCUCUUAUUUGCUAGUUAUUGACUAGUUAAUGGCUGUUGUUUACUCAUGACACUUUUCAAUUUAAACUUGAAAAUGCGUAAAUAGUUUCUGAGCUAUUAACUCUAACAAAAAAAGUACAGAUAAGUACUCCUACAAAAAUACAGUGUAGUAAAAUUGACAAGGCAACAAAUACGUAUAUUAUACCCAAAAUGUCCUAUUCCAAGAUACGUAAAGAAACGUGCAUGCGUAUCGACGUAGGUUUGUAACAACACUUGUCACCAGGGCCAGAUUAAGAGCCCAGUGGGCCUGGUGCUGACAAUCAUGACGGGCCUAAUUACAGAAUCAUAUCGACCAAAAACAGUAAAACACUCCCAAGCGUCAUGUAUCUGAUGGAGAUGGUGCUGGAGAGAAAGAAAACAGCAGCUAUAAGAAAACACAUACCCUAGGCUUAUCUCUCACUAAUUUAUCUUUUCAUCUUUCAAGUAAAUCCAUAACCCCUAACAGCAGUGUCCAGUCAAGCAGGAAGUCAAUGGGCACGGUAAAAGGGUGUGCCACUGACACAAAUCACGCUACCUGCCAAAAGGGGCGAACAUGCCCAAAAAGAGGAUAUGUCUGCCCAAAGAAUUAGGCCAGCCUGGUAUGAAUGCAUGUCAGGCUGCCUGCCAAACUAAGGGCAUACUAUACAGACAGCACCCUGAGCUUGGCAUAAAUGCAUCUAAUGAUGCGCUCGCUCAACGCUUUCUAAGGACUGUCCCCUAGCACUCGCUGGUCCACUUGUCUCCUUACCUUCUUACUAGCAGGCAGAAGCUCCUGGUAUAUAGUCUGGAACAGAGAAAAGCUGUAUGUAGUGAGUGUAGAAGAAAGGGAACAUGCCACAGUGUUAGAGAGACCAAAGUCAGCAUUACCUUAAAGGAUCACUAUAGGGUCAGGAACACAAAUAUGAAUUCAUUACCCUAUAGUGUUAACACCACCAUCUAGCCCCCCUGGGCCCCUCAUGCCACCAUAAAUAUAGCAAAAUCUUACUGUAUUCAAGCCUGAAGCUUUAACUCUGCAUGCUGUUAGACUCAGAAAAACAAGCAGUCUGCUGACAUCAUUAGAAGUGGUGGCCUAAUCCAAUCACAGUGCUUCCCCAUAGGAUUGGCUGAGACUGACAAAGAGGCAGAUCAGGGGCAGAGCCAGCAUGAUUCAAACACAGCCCUGGCCAAUCAGCAUCUCCUCAUAGAGAUGAAUUGAAUCAAUGAAUCUCUAUGAGGAAAGUUCAGUGUCUGCAUGCAGAGGGAGGAGACACUGAAUGUUUGGAUGCAUUUUAGGCAGCCAUGACCCAGGAAGGAUCUCUAACAGCCAUCUAAGAAGUGGCCAGUGAAGUUAUCACUAGGAUGUAAUGUAAAGACUGCAUUUUCUCCGAAAAGACAGUGUUUACAGCAAAAAGCCUGACGGUAAUGAUUCUACUUACCAGAACAAAUUCAAUAAGCUGUAGUUGUUCUGGUGACUCUAGUGUCCCUUUAACUAUAUUCAUUGUCAGCCAGUCUACACAAGUUUUGUUCCCAUACAUCCCUCUUAAGUUUCCAUACUUAAGUAAGGGUAUGUGAAAAGUAGUUAGGGUUGCCACCUUUCUUGGAAAAACAUACCAGCCUUGCUAAUUUGCAUAAUUAAAUAUGUAUGGGCGACAUCACAUGAUGUAAAUCACAAGGAGUGACAUAAGAGAAAAUGCUGUAAAAUCACCAAAAAAACUACUUAGUUUGAUUCUGCUGUAUAGAUGGAUUCCUCCCAGUGGCCCCAUGUCUCCCAGUGUCCCCUAGUGUCGUGUCCCCAGGUCUCCCAGUGAUCCUAUGUAUCACAGUGUCUCAAUGCCCCAUGUCUCCCUGUGUCCCCAUGUAUCCCAGGGUCCCCAUGUCACUAGGAAGACGGGAAGACCUGGGGACACAGGGAGACCUAGGGUCACGGAGACACCAGGGACCCAUGUAUCCCAGGGUCCCCAUGUCACUAGGAAGACGGGAAGACCUGGGGACACAGGGAGACCUAGGGUCACGGAGACACCAGUGACACUGGGAAACUAGGGGACUCUGGCUGGGACGCAUGGGGACACUGGGAAAAUAGGGGACACUUGAAGACAUGGGGACACAGACACCAGGGACACAGACACUAGAGACACUGGCUGGGGGACAUGGGGACAUUGAGACACUUGAGGCACUGGGAGACAUGGAGGCACUAGGAGACAUGGGGACAGUGAGACACUGGCAGACUGGGGCACUGGGAGACUAGGGGGCACUGAGACACCAGGGACACUGGCUGAGAGACAUGGGGACACUGGGAGACAUGGGAACACUGUGUCCCCAUGUGUCUGUGUCAUAAUGUCUCCCAAUGUCCCUUAGUGUCUCAGUGUCCCCAUGUCUCCUUGCAGCCUUUCCCCCAUCCCUUACUUCCCUGAGAUGUAGGCUGUCUCUGCAGGGUGGGAGUUGCUGUCUGGACUCUCUGUAGCUGCACCCCUGCAGAUCAGUGAGAAUAGAUAGGCAGGGAGGGAUAUGCUGGAACUUCCUAUCCCUGCCUGUCUCCACACACAGUGACCCCUACUGGUCAGUGCUGGUAUUGCAUAGUAAUCUCUUGUUUAUACUGAGAAAAAUACCAGCAUUUGUAUUGCCAGUAUCACUGUAAUAUUAGCACCAGCCAGGCAGCCUCAAAUAUUGCCUGUAAAAUAAAAGCCAGGUGGAAUCCCUAAGAGUAGUGUGUGAAAAAAAAAAUGUACAAAAAAAAAAAAUAAUCUUUUUUUUUUUUAAUAAAUCAAUGGGCCUAUUCCAUGGGCCUGGGCCUGGAGCUGCAGCUCCAUCAGCUGUUAGAUGGCUGUUAGAGAUCCUUCCUGGGUCAUGGCUACCUAAAAUGCAUCCAAACAUUCAGGGUCUCCUCCCUCUGCAUGCAGACACUGAACUUUCCUCAUAGAGAUUCAUUGAUUCAAUUCAUGAGGAGAUGCUGAUUGGCCAGGGCUGUGUUUGAAUCAUGCUGGCUCUGCCCCUGAUCUGCCUCUUUGUCAGUCUCAGCUAAUCCUAUGGGGAAGCACUGUGAUUGGAUUAGGCCACCACUUCUAAUGAUGUCAGCAGACUGCUUGUUUUUAUGAGUCUAACAGCAUGCAGAGUUACAGCUUCGGGCUUGAAUAUAGUAAGAUUUUGCUAUAUUUAUGGAGGCAUGAGGGGCCCAGGGGGCUAGAUGGUGGUGUUAACACUAUAGGGUCAUGAAUUCAUGUUUGUGUUCCUGACCCUAUAGUGAUCCUUUAAGGUAAUGCUGACUUUGGUCUCUCUAACACUGUGGCAUGUUCCCUUUCUUCUACACUCACUACAUACAGCUUUUCUCUGUCCCAGGCUAUAUACCAGGAGCUUCUGCCUGCUAGUAAGAAGGUAAGGAGACAAGUGGACCAGCGAGUGCUAGGGGACAGUCCUUAGAAAGCGUUGAGCGAGCGCAUCAUUAGAUGCAUUUAUGCCAAGCUCAGGGUACUGUCUGCAUAGUAUGCCCUUAGUUGGCCAGCUGCAUGAUUGGCAGGCAGCCUGACAUGCAUUCAUACCAGGCUGGUCUUCUAAUUCUUUGGGCAGACAUAUCCUCUUUUUGGGCAUGUUCGCCCCUUUUGGCAGGUUACGUGAUUUGUGUCAGUGGCACACCCUUUUACCAUGCCCAUUGACUUCCUGCUUGACUGGACACUGCUGUUAGGGGUUAUGGAUUUACUUGAAAGAUGAAAACAUAAAUUAGUGAGAGAUUAGCCUAGGGUAUGUGUUUUCUUAUAGCUGCGGUUUUCUUUCUCUCCAGCACCAUCUCCAUCAGAUACAUGAUGCUUGGGAGUGUUUUACUGUUUUUGGUCGAUAUGAUUCUGUAAUUAGGCCCGUCAUAAUUGUCAGCACCAGGCCCACUGGGCUCUUAAUCUGGCCCUGUCACCACCCCGGUUAGAUGGAAUUCAUACUGGCAAUGCAUAAGUUCUGUGGUGGGCUGAAUUAGGAGGGAUGGUGUGGUGCGCAACUGGCUGAGAAUGAUACUCAUUAUAUUUCACACUGUCCACUACAAUUAAUGGAAACCCCACUGUACCCCUAAAACUCUAAGGAUGAGGUCUUACACUAUAUCCCCAUGUUUUCAAUGAUGAAGGCUUGCACUUUAUCAAUGGAUGAAGGGUUAUAGAUAGCGCUGUGUUAUUAAGAAUUCAGCUACAUUAUAAAGCUGUUUUUAUUACGUUCUACACUAUUUUAUAGUCGAUAUCUUUGGGGAGAAUACGAAAAUAGAGAACACUUUACACAGAGUGUAGUCUAUUAUAUUCAGCAAACAUCUGUCACAACCAAAAUCCAAACCAUUCUCUAAUCUGGGUGAUUACAUUACAACUAAUCUCACAAAAUUGUAAACAAUUUAAGAAGGAUGAACUGCCCUUUUCUGAAACAAAAUUAUGUUUGUAUGUAAUAUUAGAGAUUAACGGUCAUCCUAAAAUUGGUUUGGGAUUUUUUUUCAUCUUUUUUUUUUAAAGUGCAAAAAAAAAAAAUUAUAGACAUGAAACAAGAAGAUUGUUUAUUGAAUCAGUAUAACAUCGGUUCAACACAGAGAAUAAAAUGUCAGCAAAACUGUUCUAAUAUUUCAUGUAUCAGAUCUUUGAGGAAGUCUCAAAAUGUCAGAAGUAAAAAAAAAAUGUUUUUUUUUUUUUUUAAGUAAAACUUGUUUUCUCAACCUAACAAACUUAUAUUCUCGACACAAGUUGUUCUCUCGACAUUAACUUAUUUUCUCAGCAUAAGAUAUUUUCUUGAAAAAAAAACAAGUUGUUUUCUCAAUAUAACAUUGUUUUGUGAAAAUAACAGGUUGUUUUAGGAAGAAUAUUUUUUACACUCAAAUUCUUACAUGUACCUGACUAAAUUUCAAUUAGCACACACAUUAAAAGGGAAAGCAAAAUCUGCUAGAUAAUAUUCCUAACAUUGUGCAGGCACAUGUGAACAUUUGAGUGUAAAAAAAAUAUUCUUCACAAAACAACUUAUGUCGAGAAAACAACUUGUUCUGUUCUGAAAACAUUUUUUUAUGUCGAGAAAACUUUUUUUUUUUUUUUUAGAAAAAACAAGUUUGUCAUGUCGAGAAAACAACUUGUUAAGUUGAGGAAACAAGUUGUUUUCUUACUAUAACAAGUCACAAAAAUAUUAAAAAACACAUUACCUCACUGGGUUUCUGUACUAUAUGCAAUAUGGUUUAAAAGUUGUAGAUAACAUUUUUGAGAUGCCCUGCACUUGCACAUGUCAUUUGUAAAUGAGCCCUAGCUUUUGAUUACGUAAGCACAGUGCAUUUACAGAUGCUGCCCCAUGGACCAAGGAUAAUCCAUGACUGCUGACCAAAUACCGUUACCCCAAAUAAUGACAUGAUGCCUGAGUAUUGGAUAAGGGCAACGGCCAGAGCUUUAUUUGAUUUAACUUUAAACACCGCCAGAAUUAUCACCACCUGUCGGCUGUUGGGGUGACUACCCAGAAGACAGAAAACCGUAUAUUUCCAGAGUUUGUACACCCUGCCUUCUGCAAUCAGCCCUAACAGGCAGCGACUCCCUAAAGCCUUGUCUUGUGAAUUACUUGCGCUGGCCAAGAACUUUGCCUUAGAGAUGUCGCGAACCGUCUGCCACGGUUCGCCGCGAACUCCGGUCAGCUGACACGUCCCGGCCAAUCUCCAGCAGACCCUCCCUCCCAGACCCUCCUACUUCCUGGACAGCAUCCAUGUUUCAACAUCCAAGGCUUUAGGGAGUCGCUGCCUGCUAGGGCUGGUUGCAGAAGGCAGGGUGUACGAACUCUGGAAAUAUACGGUUUUAUCUGUCUUCUGGGUAGUCACCCCAACAGCCGACAGGUGGUGAUAAUUCUGGCGGUGUUUCAACAUGGAUGCUGUCCAGGAAGUAGGAGGGUCUGGGAGGGAGGGUCUGCUGGAGCUUGGCCGGGACGUGUCAGCUGACCGAAGUUCGCCACGAACAGCUCGUGGCGAACCGUUCGCGGACGGUUCGCGACAUCUCUACUCUGCCUCAGCUGUGACAAAAAGAGAACACAAACCAACAACACAGAAAAAACACCAACCUGCAUAACAGGGUAGGGAGGGAGGGAAAAACCUGUUCUAGCCUUUCCUUCUGCGAAUGGUGAGUACCAUCCCCUCUACACCCCUUCUUAUACCAUCCCAUCUCUGCAACAUUGUAUCCCUCUCUAUCAUGCCUCCCCUUCCUUAUAGUCCAGGGGAAACCUUGACUGCUGCCAAAAUUACAUUCCCGUUACCCCCCAAUAAUGACAUGACGCCUUAGUAUUGGAUAAGGGCAACGAUUAAAGCGCAAUUGUCCCCCUCCAGCUCCACAUGUCGUACCGAUACACCACCAAGUCAACGCACAAAUCUAGAAAUAGUGACAUUGAAUUUGCGUCUGUUCCGUUCCAAACCCCUGGCAUGCGACAAGGCUUGCCAGCAUGGACGGUGAACAAUCUCGUACCAUAUCAAAGUUCACUCAGAAAACAAUGUCAAGCACUGCACCAAGCCAUGCUUUACAGAGUGCACUAAAUCCACGGUCCUAACCCUACCUAAAUCAUUACCACAUGGAUCAAAAUGGUGACAGCCCCUGACACGAACCUGCUAAGGACAACGCACUCCAGGUAAACUUGCUUUAAUGACAAUCCCCGAAUACGCUAACUCGGCUGGAAUCCCUAUGUUCCGUCCAUAGGAGGGCCACUCUGCGAAUCGAGCUGCCCAAUAGAUAAACAAAUGUGCAAAUAUCCAUAUAUAGCGGGGAGCACACCCUGAAACAAAUUACAACAAAUGAUUCGGGACGUACAGCUGAUAUCUCCUGGAUGACUAUCUGCCUAGAUGCUGCACCUCCGAAACCCGCAAAACCCAAGGCGCUAGCUUGCAUUGCAGGGGAGAAACCGGUAGGAUCUCUACCACAAGACACCAACGCUUUCCUGAGCACAGAAGUGAACUCAAACUGCGUAAGUGGGGAACCAUCUGCGUGUACCAAUAGCGAGACUGCCGACGGCUGAACCGCCAUAAAACUAUGAAACAACCGUACAGGGAAAAAUUCACCCCAGUAUUACCCACCCAGAGCCAAAUACACCUACCGUUCUGAUCAGUCUUUGACCUACGCAUUUCUAAGUCCACAAAACUAUCAGACCAACGUACAUCCGAUAACAAUAACGGAGCAACCAAACGGCGAUUAGGGACUACUAACUCCCCCACUCGCAAAGCUCAGAAAAAAUGAACGCAACCUGGAAUAAAAGCAGACAAAGCUCUUUCUGCCACUGCGCAAGAGUGACCCUGCUCGAGUAACCUAUUUAAAUACUUCAACGUAACCUCAAACCGGGCCGUCUAAGACGACAGCAGCACCGACCCAUCCACGAAAGACAACCAAACUGACCAUACCUACCUGUAUGCCUUCCAUGUAAAGGCAGACAACGAGUCCGACACCAAGGACAUCAAGCCUCCAAAACUAGGUCCCAUAAGUAGGAAGGGCAGAGAAGACCCUCGCAGAGCCGAUUCCCGAAAACGAUCCCACUGAAACCGAGAAAGAGAGUUAGCCACUACGUUCAACUCCCCUGGGACAUGCCGUGCCUUCAUCCACACAUUAAACCUUAAGCUUAGCAGCACCAGAUGUCACAAGAGAGCCAGAACUGGAGGAGAUGCAGACGACGAUCGGUUAAUCACAUGGACAACACUCAUAUUGUCCGUGUGAAAGACCACCACCUGAUCCUGAAGAUCCUCUCCACAUAAUGCCAGAGCCACCAAUAUGGGAAAAAGUACCAAAAAUUUUAGGUUAUGCAUAAUGUCUAACUCGCGCCAUUCCAAAGGCCUAGCUGCUGCACACCACUUACCCCGAAAAAAGGCCCCAAACCCUACAGACCCUGAGGCAUCCAUGAAGAGGUCCAACUCUGAAUUGAUACUGCUUCCAGCAACGAGCAUCACCGCCCAUUGUACUUACCCAGGAAGGCACUCAUGUCAGCCCGCAGCUUGGCCAUUGUGACGGCUCCCGGCAUCUCUUCCAGCGUGGCUGCACUCAAACUAAGCAGCCACGCCGUCAGAGAUGUUUCAUACUUAUCUUGGACUCGGUGGGCAGCUACCCGGUCUCCCUCCAUUCCGUUCUUUGGAACGCCUGCCGCUGCGGAUCAGGCUUUUAUAAGAAACUUGAUUGAAAAAGAUGGCGCCGACACGCUUUGGGGUCAGAGGUCAGAGACAGCCAAUUACAGCACAAAGAGGGUUAUUUAGGCCCAAAUUACCUUUUUGCCAUUGCCCUGUCGUGGUUUCCACUAGCUGGUUAUCCGUGAGUUAUUUGAGAGUGUGUUCCUGAUUGCGUAUUUGACUUUGGCUUCAUUUUGACUUCCCUGAUUUCUGGUAUCCUUGACUUCUGCUUUCCUCAUCGUUGUGUCUCAUUCUGUGUCCCUGACCUCGGCAAGUAUUUUGAUUAUUCUGCGGUACUUUAAGUCUGGCCAUUCUAAGGUCCGGUUAGACGUUAUCCUUAGUCCUAGGUGUGAUACUAUUCUGCAUGCUGGAUCAACUAUAAUCCUGACAUUACGAUAUUUCCAUAGAUCCUGCAGAUUUGUGUCAGCACAUAGCAGCUUGCAAGAGAAAGCUAGAGGAAAAUGAUCACCGUAUGGAUCAAUUUGCCCAGGCUUUCAAUGAGCUCCUAAUACGUACGACUCAUUUACAGCCUGAAGUUCCUCAGGCAGUUACACCUCCGCCUACUGUACCUACACCUAUAGUAUAUAAGGCACCUCCUAUCUCCACCCUCACAUUUUGAAGAUAAGACUCAAGAAUGUCGGGGAUUCCUUAAUCAGAUUUUGAAGCCUCACCUGGGUCCUUCCCCAUGGAGAGCUAAAAUUGGGUACUUAAUGAACCAACUGAAAGGUAAAGCCUUAGCUUGGGCCAACCCAUUAUGGGAGAGUGAUAGGACUAUUGCCCAUAAUUACCAAGAAUUCCUUGCGGAAUUCAAAUUAACAUUUGAACCAUGAGGAAGGGAAAAUAACGCUUACACUGCUUGAAUGUGUAUUAAACAAGGGAACCAGUCUGUCUCAGAUUAUGUCAUAGAAUUCCACACCCUGGCUUCUGAGGUAGACUAGACUAAUAACGGAUUAAUCACUACAUUUGCAGAAGGUUUAUCCGAAGCUAUCUUUGACGAAAUUUCAGCCAAAGAACUACCAGGGAGGUUAAAUGAAUACAUCACGUAACAGGGAGAGGACUAGAAAUAGAACCAGGUGGAUGAAUAUGUCACUGGCACCUCGCUUCUCCAAUCCCAUUCUCCCUGGCCUUUCUGUACAGUCUGAACCUAUGCAGUUAAUGGUUAUGAGACUGUCAGAGGCAGAGAAACAGUUUAGGAGAAAACAGGGCCUCUGUUUAUACUGUGACAAGACACAUAAGAAAUGCUUGUCCCAUAACUCCGGAAAACUUACGCACCUAAGAACCAUCAGGGGACCGGCCUUAGAUGUGAUGUAUAUGUCCCCUGGUACUACCCAAUGUAGAUUUCUCCUUAGUAUUACUGUUCAAAUUGAUAAGAUAAGUUUUACGUGUAACGCCCUGAUUGACUCAGGCGCUGGAGAAAACUUUAUUUAUCGGCAAUUUGCCAGUAAACAACUCCUACCCAUCAAGGAGAGAUCAUCACCUCUGGCUGUCGAGACCAUUGAUGGAAGACCACUCUCGCAGCCUUUAAUUACCCACGAAACACUACCUAUCACUACCACGAUAGGAGUGUUACACAAAGAACUCAUCACAUUUCAGAUAAUCGCUUCCCCUUCUUGUCCCAUUAUACUUGGAUUCCCAUUGCUUGUUAAGCAUAACCCCCAUGUUGAUUUGACUAAAGGGGAGAUACUGGAAUGGGGUAAAGAAUGUAAAGAGAGCUGUAUGUCACCUAUUACUAAGAGAGUGGGUAUCGUUAAUCUACCUAGUCCUAUACCUCAGUCGACCGAAAUGCCUGUGCAUUAUAGGGAGGUUAAAGAAGUAUUUAAUAAAAGUCACACUGAUUGACUACCCCCUCAUAGAUCCUAUCAUUGCUCCAUAGAUCUGUUACCCGGCACUAUACCCCUUAAAGUAGGAGUAUAUACCUUGUCAGCACAGGAAAGUAGAGUUAUGGAAGAAUACAUUAAAGAGUCUCUACUAAAAGGCCACAUAUGUUAAUCUUCUUCUCCUGCAGGAUUCAUUUUUGUUAUUAAGAAAGGAGGAGAGUUACAGCCAUGUAUUGAUUAUAGGGCAUUGAACAAGAUCACCAUUAAAACAGCUUUUCCCAUUCCCUUUAUCUUGGAAUUAUUUGACAGACUCCAGGGCGCUUAGGUGUUUACCAAACUGUUACGAUUGCCCCCGGUCUAGCAGGAGGGUUGAUCGCUUGGAUGUCCUGGUUCCCGCUGCAGAGAGUCGAACGGAGGUCUUUCGGUAGUAAACUGCAAAUGUAGAAUAUCCCCAAGCACGAUAUAAGCAUCAAUAUCCCGGAUCCCUACAACAUGAGUCGAGGCUGCAAGUUGAGGGUCAAAACGAACUGGCUUUACUGGCACAUAGCAUGGCAAUUUAUGUGAUUCCUCAGGUCCAAGGACAGCCCCCUGUGGACCUGAUGGAAUACAGGUACAGUACAGACACAUAUCCAAUCACAAUACAGUGUAUCAUUUGAAUUAGUACCCGCCCAGCUUAAAGAUAAUGAGGCCAACGGUUAUACAAUCUAAUUAUCUCCAAGCGCACCAAAGACCACGUUUUAUUAUGUCCCAGAAAACUGCAUAAAAAUCCAUAACUUUUACAUUAAUAAAGACAAACCCCGCAUUCUACCAUUCAUCUGAAGGCUCACGUUCGUGUAAAUAAAACAUGCGAAUGGCGCUCUAAUCCCACGAACAGAAUGUACUGUUUCUGCCGUAUGAAGUCCGUUCGGCAUUUUGGGAUUAUUAGUCUUUGUUGGCGGCCAUGUUUUCUGCGGUUUUAGCGAGCAGCGGGACUUCGUGUCUAAUUCGUGGAACUAAACUCGGUAUCAGUUCAUGCGAAGUCCCGCUGUCUGGCUGGUAGUGGGCUCGUUCGGUAAGGGAAUGAGGACCACCUGGGAGCAGGGUACUUGACCUGCGGUUAACCGCAAAAACCACAAGUUAACCAGCGCCGCACGACCCGCUGUAGGGGGUCGUCGUUCGGUUGAUAGUUCGGUAUUUUCCCUUCGGUACUUUGGGUGCGAACGUCGAUGCCUCCAGGCCUACCAAUUACGUUGUGGUUAACCGCAAACCGCAGGCACCUGGGUGGUUUAAUGGCUGCCACACUCCGGGGCCGGGUGGUCGACCGUUCGGUAGUUUGUCGGGUGACGGGGUUAAGUGGCGGCACACGCCAGUUUGUGGGGGGUCCCCCGUUCGUACCACGAAUGGAGCCUUCAUAAGGGUUCGCAUAAUCCAUUCGUGUGGUUUUCUGCUUAACUUAUGCAGUGGCAAACUGUAUCACUCGGAGAGUUAAAACAGCAACAUAGUGAUUCCCAGUCUUUUGUAACACAAACUCGAUCUUAUGAGUGCUUAUAAUUUGGUAAGAAUUAAGGAGGGACAUGAAUGGAGAACUGCAUUUAACACGAGAAAUUUGUAUCUUGUCAUGCCCUGCAGCUUAUGCAAUGCUGCAGCCGUAUUUCAAGAUCUUAUUAAUGAUGUUCUUGGAGACUACAUUUAUACUUUUGUAUUGGCAUAUCUGGAUGAUAUACUUAUUUAUUCCCCCAAUAUCCAGACUCAUCAUGGGCAUGUUAAACAAGUGUUGCAAACUUUGCUAAAAAAACGGACUAUGUUGCAAACUUGACAAAUGUCUAUUUGACCAGACGGAAGUUCAGUUAUUGGGCUAUAAUAUUUCGGCCUCUGGUUUUCAGAUGGACCCACGUAAACUGGAAGCUGUUUUACACUGGCCAUUACCCAAUGGGUUAAAAGCCAUUCAAAGAUUCAUUGGGUUUGCAAAUUAUUAUAUUAUUAUAUUAUUAUUUUUCUUUGGUUUUUGCUAUAUAUUGGGGCUGAUGUGUACUGUAGUCAUUGCAGCCGCCCAGGAGUGAUGGGAGUGAGCGCAGGACUUUUCUUUUUGUAUUUGUAUUCACUUUUUGUAUCACACAACUAGGUUACAAUGCUGCCACCCAUCCCAUGUGUUCCCUAUUAAGGGUUAACAAGUAUAUAGGGAUGUAUAUAAAAAAUACCCCUUUUUGUCUCAUUAGAGAUAUUUUUGCCAGAAGCUCAAGGAAGCAAGGUAAAGGGUCAGAGUAGGACCCAUCUAGGGGGGUCUGCCUUGACGUUGGUAGGCGGGCAUUCCCUCCAGUGGCCAUUGGAGUAACUAAAUGACCUCCAUUUGUUUAAAUAUACAUAGGGAUUAAGGAGAGAGCGCAGGUAACUUUUUUCUUUGGUUUUUACUAUAUGUAUUAGCUGAUGUGUACUGUGGUCAUUGCAGCCGCCCAGGAGUGAUGGGAGUGAGCGCAGGACUUUUCUUUUUGUAUUUGAAUUAUUAUAUGAGAUUCAUCAAAGGUUUCUCUACUGUAACAGCACCCACCAUCAAUAUGACGCGAAAGGGGGUUGACUGUAAUAUAUGGUCUAAAGAAGCUAAAGAAGCUUUUGAGCUACUUAAGAUAUUAUUAGCUUUUGCUGACAUAUUUGUAUACCCUGACACUAGCAAACCCUUCAUACUAGAGGUAGAUGCUCUUGAGACAGGGGUCGGGGCUGUCCUUUCUCAGAGGGAGAGUCAGGAUACCCCUUUGCAUCCUUGUGGGUUCUUUUCUAGAAGGUUGUCGACAGUGGAAUGCAACUAUGAUAUUGGUAACAGGAAAUUGUUAGCCAUUAUCCUAGCUCUGAAAGAAUGGCGACAUCUUUUAGAAGGUUCCAAGGACCCUCUCCUGAUCAUAACUGAUCACAAAAUCUUGGCAUACAUUGGAAAUGCUAAAAGGCUGUCUUCUAGACAAGCUAGAUUGUCACGAUGUAACGUUAUCAUUACGCACAGGCCUGGUCCUAAGAACGUUAAGGCGGACGAUCUAUCUAGGCAAUUUGACCUAGAGGCGGAACAAGAACAAGAAACCUCUCCCAUCAUACCACCUGAAUGUAUCAUUGCCUCUACGGUUCUUUCCUUGUCUUCUCCUCUUCUUUGUGCUAUAAUGGCAGCUCAGACCCAGGCACCUAGUGAUAAACCUCAAGAUAGAUUAUUUAUUCCGUUACUGGAAAGAGAGGAGGUACUAAGAGUGUUUCACGAUUAUGUGACAGCUGGUCAUCCACUGUCUCUAGGUCAUUUUGGUGGCCUUCUCUUAGAAACAUCAGAGAGUAUGUGGAGGCAUGUACUAUUUGUGUGGUUUCUAAGGUUCCCCAUAAACUACCUUGUGGGCUAUUACAACCGCUUCCUAUACCCAGUAUUCCAUGGUCUCAUUUGUCUAUGGACUUUAUUGUGGAACUACCGAUUUCUAAAUUUCUAAAACCCUUUUCGCAAGAGCUGGCUUAUAUAUUUAUACGCAAAAUAGUCAGAUUACAUGGUAUUCCGCUAAAUAUUGUGUCAGACAGGGUUUCCCAAUUUGUGUCACGAUUUUGAGAGCAUUUUCUAAACAGUUGGGUAUUGAAUUAUUGUUUUCUUCUUCUUCUUACCAUCCUCAAACCAAUGGUGUGGCUGAGCGAAACAACCAAUCAUUGGAACGAUAUUUGAGAUGUUUUAUUUAUGGCGCUCAGGAGAACUGGUCUGAUUUGUUACCGUGGGCCAAAUUCACCAGAAAUGAUGCUACCCAUGACUGAUCUUGACAUAGUCCAUUUUUUGUUAACUACGGCCGUCAUCCUACUAUCCUCCCUGCAGUAUUUUCUGACACUGCUAUUCCCGCACUGGAUGACCAUCUCACAUGUAUUCGUGAGACUUGGACUAAGGUCCACACAGCUUUAGAAACAGCUACAGCUCAUUUCAAACUGCAUGCUGAUAGAAGGCUAGGUGCCAACUCUGUUUACCAGGUGGGUGACAGGGUAUGGCUCUCCACACAGAAUAUUAAACUCAAAGUCCCUAGCAUGAAGUUUGCACCCAGGUUUAUUGGUGCCUUUUGAAUUAUUUGUAAGAUUAAUUCUGUGUCUUAUUCUCUGGCUCUCCCCACCUCUCUGCGUAUUCCUAAUAUGUUCCAUGUAUCCCUACUUAGGCAUCUUAUAUGUAACAGGUAUACCACCUUCUGUCCCUCCCUCUCGUUUGGUUGUUUCUGGACAGGAGGAGUACAAAGUCUCCUCUAUUAUUGACUCCAGGUUUUCUCAAGGGUCUUUACAGUAUUUCGUUGACUGGAAGGGUUAUGGGCCUGCCGAUCAUUCUUGGGUUUCUGCUUCAGGUGUACAUGCGGGCCGCAAAAUCCGUUCCUUCCAUGCCAGGUUUCCCCUUAAGCCUGGUCCUGCCCACCCGGUGGGUGGUCUUCAAGUGGGGAUUACGGUCACGGCUCCCAGCAUCUCUGCCGGCGUGGCUGCACUCAUACAAAACAGCCACGUCGUCAGAGAUGUUUCAAACUUACCUUGGGCUCGGCGGGCAGCUACCUGGUCUCCCUCCGUUCUCUCCGAAGCAGAUUCUUCUGGCAGCCGCCCACUAUGCCGGCUGCCGUGUCUCAGGGAUGCUGGACUCUUUGCAUGCACCGCACCCCGACUCCAUCCUGCUUCCACCUCUCCUUGCAGCUGGGCACCAGCCCUCCUGCACUGGAAUGGCCUCCGGUCACUAUCUUCAGCCCUUUCCCGGCUCUCCCAGGGCUCAGAUCGCUGAAAUGCGUCCACUUCCGCGGUCCAAGAUGGUGGGGCUUGUGACGCCAGCACUCGGCAACGUUCAACCGUUUCGUACGCGCCACGUGUCACGUCCGUCGACUCCAAGCCCGAGCCGGAAAAGAAGGGGGACUCCAAGAGCACUCUUCCCACGCUCCGCCAUCUUGGGCCCAACUCCCAGCCCACAUCACAGCACAAGGCCGCCUUCUGGAAGCCAGGGAUCCUCUGCUCACCACUCCGCUGCCGAGUGCCGACUGCCUCCUGCUCGUCCCGACCUCUGCUUUGCUGCUCUGUCGAACUGGACUCCUUGAAAGGCGAGUAGGAGGCCUGGACUGUCUCGGCCUCCUACCACUGGCCAGAUAGGGACUCUCCGUUACCUGCUGCUCCGCUCCCAUCAGCUCCUGGGGAAGACAGGCCAUCAGCUCCGACAGGGAACCCGCUCCAUUGGAAGCCAGGUGAGUCUGUAGCAUCCCAAUCAGCGCAUUUUUGGACACAGCAGCUAUCUUGAAGAAGGGGGCCAAAUUCUCAGGUAAGUACACAGGCCCUAAGCUAACUCUAAAUUAUCGUUGGGUUUUUUUAACAGCAGAAGGGAUAAAGGGAAAAUCCUGUUGCAGCCUUUCCUUCUGCGAAUGGUGAGUACCCUCCCCUCUACACCCCUUCUUAUUCAUCCCAUCUCUGCAACAUAGUAUCCCACUCUAUCUCACUCCUUACUGUAGGGCAGCAGUCAUGCUUCCCCUUCCUUACAGUCCAGGUGAUCCCUGGAGAUGCACUGACAUUCACAGAGGUUAUAAUACUCCUACUCUGCCACUAUAAAUUUUUUUUUAAAUGCAUAAUUAAAAUAGCUAUCCCCUGCUGCCCACAGUGGUAUCUCUAGGGUCCAAUAGGGACAUUUAGCUCCACAGUGCAUUUCCAUCUCCUUGAAGUCCAAUUCGUCCCAGACAGCAAUGACACAAACCUCCACUGAUGAAAACCUAUUGCUAAUUCCGAGAGGUCUAGAUGAGAGCUGGGAUCUCUGUAACAGAACCACCCCUGGCAUGCCACAUUUCAGAAUACAGCGGCCAUAAUGGCCACCUUGUUUAUGUACAUUCAUGUUUAUAUAAACACACAAAAAGGGGAUUGGCAGUGGCUUAAACUCUGCAAUACACACCCCACACAAAAAUACAUUCUCUAUUUAUAAAUAAUAUCACACACCACUGGCAUACAUACAGUCGCAGGGGUCACUCCAGGGGGCCUGGCCACCCUGUGGACCUCUUCGACCGGGUACCCGCCCGCAUCUUUUGCGGCCCCGGCCCACGCGGUAAACCGCCGGUGCCGCUGUCCAAGGGGUCUACCCAAAGGAGAUGGAUUGUCAGGCGGCCCGGUCAGUGCUGAGCGCUUUAACAGUGAGACCAUGUCCCCUGUGAUAUCAGACAUAGCUGGGAGGAAGUGACUGGACAUCACUCCACCCAGCUAUCAGACAGCUGCGCGUGAGGAAGGAGGAGGGAGUCAGAGUGGGAACUCUGACUCUUUUCAGGCUGAGCCCACACUGGACCCCAGGGAAGUCACCCUCCUGCAAAAGGUAGGAUACAUUUUGUAUGUGUCUGUGUGUGUGUGUGUGUGUGUGUGUCUGUAUGUGUUUGUGUCUGUAUAUGUGUAUGUGUCACACCGCACACACACAUACAGACACAGACAUAAACACAGACAGACAUGCAUACAGAGACGCAGACACACACAUACAGACUGUAUGUGUGUGUGUCUCUGUAUGUGUGUGUAUGUGUCUGUGUAUAUAUAUGUCGGGGGUGCGUGUGUGUAUGUAUGUGUCUGUCGGGGGUGCGUGUGAGUAUGUAUGUGUCUGUCGGGGGGUGUAUGUGUGUGUGUCUGUAUGUAUCUGUCUGUGUGUAUGUAUGUGUGUGUCUGUAUGUAUGUGUGUGCAUCUAUGUAUGUCUGUGUCUAUAUGUAUGUGUCGGGGGGGCCCAUAGAUCAGUUUCGCACCGGGGCCCCGUGUAUUGUGUGUACGUCACUGUCACACACAUUACCAGGGGUGAUCCAAUGGUCAGUGGCAUUUAGAUUUUUUUUGGUGCCUCACGGGGCUGUGGUGAAAUUAAUCUCUCCCCAUUGCAGACCCCUUUGGCUCGAGUAUCCUAAGAAUGUAUAACCUCCGGUCGCCUACCAUAUCUCUGUGCCUUAUGCGUAAACAUGUGUGCGAGACACCAUAUGUAUAAUACGUAAUAUGUGACUGUAAUCUGUCACUGUGAACCUCUGGGUAAUGUGUGCAUGUGACAGUAUUGGUUGUAUUUGACCGGGUGGGUCAAUAGUGGGUGUGAGUGGGGCUAGUAGUGAUGAGCAUGAAUUAAAGCAUUAUUUGCCAAAUCAAGAAUUGCUGUCAACUAAGAAUUUUUUAGAGGGGAGGAAUUGAGUAUUCUGUGCCUUGCAGGUGCGAAUAUGUAAAUCUGGCCCUGAAAAUAAUUAGAUUAAUUUAAUCCUCAAUUUCUGUGUUGAGCAAGAUCCAUCUGAAAUAAUGAGAUAUGCAUUUUUUCUUGUUAAAACUUACUUCUUGCAGACAGCCAGGCUGGUGGGGAUGUUUUCCAACGUACGUAAACAAUGGUGCAAUCAAUGAGAGGAGUGAUAAAUGUAUACUAAUAAUAACAAUGCAUAUUACACACAAUAUUCUUGGGACUUUAAACAUCUUAUUGUACUCAGUCGAAUAAAACGUUAAACUGUCCAUCAAUAUAGUGUGUAAUAGGCAUUCUUAUUUACUGGAUUGGUGCCAUCUGGUGGAUGUAACUGGUAUUAUAUAAAACAUUCCUUUUCUUUGAAAGAACACUCCAGUGUUAUAAAUAAAUGCAUUUAAUUUUAAUAAAUGCCUCCGGGAGAUCAUCAGUACAGACAAUCUCCUUGCCAGUUUGAUGGUUCUCAUAGACAAGCUUAAGGAUGCAGGGCGCAUGCGCAACCAUUACAGUAUCACCCUAAAGUACUUAGAAUGUUUGCUUUACGCCCAUUUGCAAUGCAAUCUGAAAGAGCACCGUCCUGGCUGUUUUGACACCUGAGGGGGUGCUAUUUUGUUAGUUCAUAAACGUGACGAUCUCUUGAAAUCAGCACUUUUAGCAAGAGAAGUUGAAUAUAUGCUUUCCUAUGGGGCGUUUAAAGACGCUGGAUGUCCACUGAGUUAAACUUCAUGAAACAGCAAGAAGUACCUCUAGUGGCUGUCUGGUACACAGCCAGGGCCGGACUGCCCACCGGGAUACCGGAAAUUUCCCGGUGGGCCGUUGGCGGCCCCGCUCUCAUUAAGCUGCGCUCUGGGGCGGGGGAGAAGAGACAGAACAGCCUCUUCUCCCCCUGCGGCUCCCUCUGCGGCCGCCACAAGAGCCAGCUCCCCCAUGUGGCCGCCAUCAGAGCUCCACAUGCGGUCGCCAGCACACAGGUAGCAAUUAUGUGUGUCAGUAUUAGUGUAUGUGUGUGUGUCUGUCAUGGUGUGUGUGUGUGUCUGUCUGUGUCAUUGUGUGUGUCAUUGUGUGUGUCUGUCUGUGUCAUUGUGUGUGUGUGUCAUUGUGUGUGCGUGUCUCUGUCUGUCAUGGUGUGUGUGUGUCUGUCAUGUAAUGUGUGUCUGUGUCACGGUCUCUCUGUGUCGUGGUGUGUGUCUGUCUGUGUGUCGUGGUGUGUGUGUGUCUCUGUCUGUCAUGGUGUGUGUGUCUGUCUGUGUCAUGCAAUGUGUGUGUGUGUGUGACUGUCAUGUAAUGUGUGUCCGUGUCACGGUCUCUCUGUGCCGUGGGGUGUGUGUGUCUGUGUGUCUGUCUGUGUCAUGUAAUGUGUGUGUGUCACAGUGUGUGUCUGUCUGUGUCACGGUCUGUCUGUGUUAUGGUGUGUGUGUCAAUGUGUGUGUGUGUGUGUGUCUUUUGUUAAGGUGUGUGUCAUGGUAUGUGUGUGUCUCUGUCAUGGUGUGUGUGUGUGUGUGUCUGUGUCAUGGUGUGUCUGUGUCACGGUGUGUGUGUGUCUGUCAUGGUAUAUGUGUGUGUAUGUGUGUUUUUACUCACCUUUUUUUUUCCCCACGUCGUGCUGGUCUCCCCUCGACUGGCCCUGCCUCUAUGGCUGAGAUCAUCAAGCUUGAUGAUCUCAGCCAAUCCGCACUGACACAGGAAGCACCUCUAGUGACCGUCUGAGUGUCUGUCACUAGGAAGCAAUGUAAACACUGCCUUUUCUCUAAAAAGUCAGUGUUUACAUUGAAAAGCCUGCAGGGACAGGCUAUAGACACCAGAGCCACUACAUUAAGCUGUGUGUGUGUGCGCACCUGCUAGUGAGUGGGCUUGCUUGUGUGUGUGUGUGUGUGUGUGCCUGCUACUAAGUGAGCUUGUGUUUUUAUGUCAAUUACCUUAUGUAUAUCAGUGAGAUUGUUUGUCUAUGAGGCUGUGUAUCAAUCAGCUUGUGGCAGUGAGAUUGUCUGUGUCUGCAUGUGAGUAUGCUCACUGUAUAAUUAAAAAUUUUACUCUGAAACGACCAAUAUUUUAUAUUGGAAAAAGCAAUAUAUCAAUCAUCUAGGGUGGCAAGACAUAGCCUUACAUAUUACAUGCGACAAUAUAUGGCGCAAUGACUUAUGGGGCUGGCAUAGAUUUUUUUUUUCCAGGGCUGCUUUGGAAUCCCCAGUCCGGCCCUGUACACAGCCACUAGAGGCAGUCUUAACUCUGCAAUAUAAACACUGAGUUCCUCUGUGUUAAGGAGACAGGGACAUUACACCCAGACCAUGUCUAUGAGAUAAGUGGCCUGGGUGCCUAUACUGUACCUUUAAAAUGGAUCUGUCACUUUUCAGUAUUUCAUAAAGAUAUACUCCUUAUGAAAUACUAAUCCAGACUUUAAGGGUCAAUUACUAAAGGGAGGAUUCAAAGCAAAUUUCAAAUUUAAGGCCAUAGUAAUUGAACUGAAAUUACAGCUGACUCAGAAUUUUUACAGUUUGACUGUUUCGACCUUAAAUUUGAAACGUACUUUGAAUUCUCCCUUUAGCGAAUAACCAUCUGAGUUGGACUUUCGCUGAAAUGCGGGCUUAUGAAUAAGCUUGAAGUUGACAAAAGGUGAAGCUGCGUUGUCAAAUUUUGUAAAUUGCAGCAACCAUCACUAGUGAGGCCUGCGGGGUUCAGGCAUUGUCUAUGGAGGUUCACAUGGUCUCGCGGGAUCCUCCAUAGACCUCAGUGUUGUAUUCUUGUGCAUGCGCAAAAGUAGAGCAUUGACGCAGCUCCUGGCAAAUGAAGGGCCAGGAGCUAAAGGGGACUAGCAGGAGGAAGAUGGCGGUCUCGAGGGACAGCUUGACGUAAGCAGACCCUACUUUCCCCUGCACCCAAAGUCUAACAGACCCACACUGGAUCUGACACUUUUGGUGGUCUUUGCGAAACAUGCAAAGAUGUCCGAAAGUGAAUUUCAAAUUUAAGAUCAAAAGAGUUGAACUGUAAAAAAGUCAACUAUGCUUUCAGUUUUGUUACUUUGGCCAAGUCAAUUUGAAUUGUUUUUUUAUUUGUGAAUAGCCCUGUCAAUUUUCUUUAAUCAUCUUUAACAAUAGGCUUACAAUCAGCGCUGGGUUCAGGUAAGUAAAUAAAGGUUUUUUUUAACCCUUUAUUUACCAGGUAGGAGGGGGCACGUGGGAUGGGGUAGAAAGAGAGAUUGUAUUCAGCGUUGUAUUCCUGACACUACAGUAUCCUUUUAAGUUUUAUCCUUUCCUUUUCUAGAGCUGAAAGAAGCCAAAUUAAUUCUAGACUUCUUGAGAAUUCGACUUUAUUCAAACUUACAGAAUAAAAAAAUAAAAAAAGCUAAUUGCUGCCACUGUGCCGAAUAUAUGGAUUCUGCUCAUGGACCCCGUUUUGUGUUGACUGCUCUGCUCCAUUAGCUAAACAGAAAUAAAAGCUUCACAAAACAUUCUCUUACCGCUAAGGGUAAUUUACCGCUGCUACACAGUGAGCUUUAUCGGAGGUUUGAAAUGGCUUCCUGCGUCUACCUAUAUAAAAAAAAAAACAGAAUGCAGAUUCAAUGAAGUCUCGAUUUUCAUUUAUGCCGUAUUUAACUCAUCUUUAUAUUUUAUUUAAAAAAAAAAAAACAUUUAACACAAACUCAACAAGACCGUUGUGUAACUCUUGCAGUGUGUUCCUAAGUGACUCAAGGGUCAAAUCCAAGCAGAUUCUUUCAGACGCCUCUUGACAGCAAACAAAUAAAGAUCUUAUAUCAGGGGGGAGCAGCAUUCAAAGUAUAUGAAAUCUUAUAUACAAAUGGUUCGUGUUAGCAAUGGUUAUCCUUAUCUUAAAGGAGCAACAUGGUGCUCUGUGCUGUAGGAGGUGCUGUACAGUGCAGCGGAACUUGUUGGCGCUUUACAAAUAAUACUAUUAAAAAUAAGUGGGAGAAUAAUGAGAAGGUAAGAGGUAUGACAUUACAAUAGUAAGAGCAGGAAAGAUAUAGAAUCCACUCUUUACAGAGCCAAGAUUUCUUGAACUUAGUCGAACAAGUAACCAUGACUGCUUAUGACAUUAAAUUCUGAGGUUACAUUGCCAAAGCUAUCUCUUAGGAAACUUAUGUCUAGGCCAACCCCCAGAGCAAAUAGAGAGAAGGGAGCAUCACUACUGCCCUGAGGGUUUGGCACAGCAACCAAAUGGAUACAGUUAGAAGCAGGGAAUUUUGGAAAGAUUACCAGACUACUAGUCAACAAUGCUGAGGGAGCCUGGCAGUGUCUUUAACCCCCCCCACCCAAUGGUUCUGUUCUGGAAUUGUUAUCUUUGUCUCAUUUGUUUUUAAUUUUGUCACAGCUGCAGGUUUCCUGCACGAGCAAGUUUGGUAACUGAAAAAUGCCUGGACAGGAUGGGGGAGUCGCAGUCUGAAUUUGGAUGAUGACGAAGGACAGGCUGAAGAGGCACUGGAAGAAGUUUAAAGUGUACCUGUCUCCUGGGUAAAACAAGCAGCUGACAGUAUUUCGUUAUGCUGGUUUAAAUAAAGCUGUGGCCGUUGCCC
Pelobates cultripes (western spadefoot toad) is the source of this 25046-nucleotide non-coding RNA. NCBI's taxonomy places the organism in Eukaryota, Metazoa, Chordata, Amphibia, Anura, Pelobatidae. The record is from the annotation of a GenBank genome assembly.